UACAGAGGGUGCAAGCGUUGUUCGGAAUUAUUGGGCGUAAAGCGCGUGUAGGCGGCUUUGCAAGUCGGGUGUGAAAGCCCUCAGCUUAACUGAGGAAGUGCGCCCGAAACUGCAGAGCUUGAGUACCGGAGAGGAUGGCGGAAUUCCCCAAGUAGAGGUGAAAUUCGUAGAUAUGGGGAGGAACACCGGUGGCGAAGGCGGCCAUCUGGACGGAUACUGACGCUGAGACGCGAAAGCGUGGGGAGCAAACGGG
This 253-nucleotide ribosomal RNA is filed under the name uncultured bacterium. RNAcentral's name for it is "partial 16S ribosomal RNA". It matches the Rfam family "Bacterial small subunit ribosomal RNA", at positions 524 to 776 of the family's 1533-position model. The record is from RNAcentral.